This is a long non-coding RNA of Pan troglodytes (chimpanzee), 620 nucleotides long. RefSeq lists it as uncharacterized. The record is from RefSeq and is a predicted model, not a curated record. The transcript is spliced from 4 exons. Lineage: Eukaryota; Metazoa; Chordata; Mammalia; Primates; Hominidae.
GCUGCACGCACAGCCGCUGCCGGGGGUCGGGGCCAAGUGCGCGCCUCGCCGAGGACGAAGAGGCUGGCGUGCCCGGUGGCUCGGCUAGCUCCCGGGUCCCGGCCCCGCCUGGAGGAUGGAGUUUCUCUCUUGUGGCCCAGGCUGGAGUGCAAUAGCACCAUCUCGGCUCACUGCAACCUCUGCCUCCCAGGUUCAAGUGAUUCUCCUGCCUCAGCCUCCUGAGUAGCUAGGAUUACAGAUUUACAGGAGCAUUGUGACUGGACCAAGGACAAAGAAGUUCCCAACCUCCUCGGACCCUCGCUGCUGCCCAGAUGUCUGCCAUGGGGUGCCAUCAUCGAAUCCACUGAGGGCGCAAAUAGAACAAAAAGGUGAAGAAAAGGUGAAUUCUCUCCUUUCUUGAGCUGGGACAUCCAACUUCUCAGACAUCAGAGCUCCUGGAGGCCUUCAGACUCCGAGACAUUACACCAUUGGCUCACCUGGUCCUCAGGUCUUUGGACUUGGAAUGAAUUACACCAUUGGCUUUCCAGGUCUUCCAGCUUGCAGAUGGCAGAUUGUGGGAUUUUUCAGCCUCCAUAACUUUGUCAUCCAAUUCCCAUAAUAAAUCGCCUCUUAUAUCUGUA